RNAcentral lists this ribosomal RNA (796 nucleotides) under uncultured bacterium. RNAcentral's name for it is "bacterial SSU rRNA". It matches the Rfam family "Bacterial small subunit ribosomal RNA", at positions 97 to 929 of the family's 1533-position model. The record is from RNAcentral.
GGCGCACGGGUGCGUAACGCGUAUGCAAUCUACCUUGUACAGAGGGAUAGCCCAGAGAAAUUUGGAUUAAUACCUCAUGGUUAUUUGAGUGGCAUCACUUAAUUAUAAAGAUCGGUACAAGAUGAGCAUGCGUCCCAUUAGCUAGUUGGUAUGGUAACGGCAUACCAAGGCAACGAUGGGUAGGGGUCCUGAGAGGGAGAUCCCCCACACUGGUACUGAGACACGGACCAGACUCCUACGGGAGGCAGCAGUGAGGAAUAUUGGGCAAUGGAGGCAACUCUGACCCAGCCAUGCCGCGUGCAGGAAGACGGCCUAUGGGUUGUAAACUGCUUUUGUACGAGAAGAUGACGGUAUCGUAAGAAUAAGCAUCGGCUAACUCCGUGCCAGCAGCCGCGGUAAUACGGAGGAUGCGAGCGUUAUCCGGAAUCAUUGGGUUUAAAGGGUCCGUAGGCGGGCUUAUAAGUCAGUGGUGAAAUCUCCCAGCUCAACUGGGAAACUGCCAUUGAUACUGUAGGUCUUGAAUAUUUGUGAAGUAACUAGAAUAUGUAGUGUAGCGGUGAAAUGCUUAGAUAUUACAUGGAAUACCAAUUGCGAAGGCAGGUUACUAACAAAUUAUUGACGCUGAUGGACGAAAGCGUGGGGAGCGAACAGGAUUAGAUACCCUGGUAGUCCACGCCGUAAACGAUGGAUACUAGCUGUUCGAUAUUGAGUGGCUAAGCGAAAGUGAUAAGUAUCCCACCUGGGGAGUACGCACGCAAGUGUGAAACUCAAAGGAAUUGACGGGGGCCCGCACAAG